RNAcentral lists this ribosomal RNA (743 nucleotides) under uncultured bacterium. Its description in RNAcentral is "bacterial SSU rRNA". It matches the Rfam family "Bacterial small subunit ribosomal RNA", at positions 94 to 823 of the family's 1533-position model. The record is from RNAcentral.
AGCGGCGGAUGGGUGAGUAACACGUGGGGAACCUGCCCCUAAGUCUGGGAUACCAUUUGGAAACAGGUGCUAAUACCGGAUAAUAAAGCAGAUCGCAUGAUCAGCUUUUGAAAGGCGGCGUAAGCUGUCGCUAAGGGAUGGCCCCGCAGUGCAUUAGCUAGUUGGUAAGGUAACGGCUUACCAAGGCGACGAUGCAUAGCCGAGUUGAGAGACUGAUCGGCCACAUUGGGACUGAGACACGGCCCAAACUCCUACGGGAGGCAGCAGUAGGGAAUCUUCCACAAUGGACGCAAGUCUGAUGGAGCAACGCCGCGUGAGUGAAGAAGGUUUUCGGAUCGUAAAGCUCUGUUGUUGGUGAAGAAGGAUAGAGGUAGUAACUGGCCUUUAUUUGACGGUAAUCAACCAGAAAGUCACGGCUAACUACGUGCCAGCAGCCGCGGUAAUACGUAGGUGGCAAGCGUUGUCCGGAUUUAUUGGGCGUAAAGCGAGCGCAGGCGGAAAAAUAAGUCUAAUGUGAAAGCCCUCGGCUUAACCGAGGAACUGCAUCGGAAACUGUUUUUCUUGAGUGCAGAAGAGGAGAGUGGAACUCUCUGUGUAGCGGUGGAAUGCGUAGAUAUAUGGAAGAACACCAGUGGCGAAGGCGGCUCUCUGGUCUGCAACUGACGCUGAGGCUCGAAAGCAUGGGUAGCGAACAGGAUUAGAUACCCUGGUAGUCCAUGCCGUAAACGAUGAGUGCUAAGUGU